AUGGCUGUCGUCAGCUCGUGUCGUGAGAUGUUGGGUUAAGUCCCGUAACGAGCGCAACCCUUGUCCCUAGUUGCCAGCACUUCGGGUGGGAACUCUAGGGAGACUGCCGGUGAUAAACCGGAGGAAGGUGGGGAUGACGUCAAGUCAUCAUGGCCCUUAUGGGGAGGGCUACACACGUGCUACAAUGGCCGGUACAGAGGGCUGCGAAGCCGCGAGGUGGAGCGAAUCUCAGAAAACCGGUCGUAGUCCGGAUUGCAGUCUGCAACUCGACUGCAUGAAGCCGGAAUCGCUAGUAAUCGCGGAUCAGAACGCCGCGGUGAAUACGUUCCCGGGCCUUGUACACACCGCCCGUCACACCAUGGGAGUGGGCUGUACCAGAAGUAGGUAGUCUAACCUUCGGGAGGACGCUUACCACGGUGUGGUUCAUGACUGGGGUGAAGUCGUAACAAGGUAGCCCUAGGGGAACCUGGGGCUGGAUCACCUCCUUUAAAGAAACCGGAAUAAGGCGUGAAAGCGCCCGCACAAUCUGCCUAAUCACCGUAAAGAUAGACCGCGGGUCUGUAGCUCAGUUGGUUAGAGCGCACCCCUGAUAAGGGUGAGGUCGGAAGUUCAAAUCUUCCCAGACCCACCACCUUUGCGCGUAUAGGAGCAAAAAGGUAACAAGGGGCCAUAGCUCAGACGGGAGAGCACCUGCUUUGCAAGCAGGGGGUCGGCGGUUCGAUCCCGCCUGGCUCCACCAGGCGCUAAACCACGGCGGCAAUGUGCCACCGUGGUUUAUCUCCUGGCCGAGGCGCCACGGGACGUUCUUUUACAAUUUGGGUAGUAGUGAUGUACGACGGUGAAGUCGGGACAGCGUUUGACGUCCUGACUUUACUGGGUAUGCCAGCAUUUAUUAUGGUAGUAGUUGUGACCUCACUAAGAACAGUCUUUUUGGGGUUAUAUGAUCAAGCGACUAAGCGCGCAUGGUGGAUGCCUUGGCGGCAAGAGGCGAUGAAGGACGUGGUAGCCUGCGAUAAGCUUCGGGUAGCCGGCAAACAGGCUUUGAUCCGAAGAUUUCCGAAUGGGGAAACCCGG
This 1074-nucleotide small RNA is filed under the name uncultured bacterium. RNAcentral's name for it is "bacterial SSU rRNA". The stretch from base 1 to 488 matches the Rfam family "Bacterial small subunit ribosomal RNA", at positions 1045 to 1533 of the family's 1533-position model. The record is from RNAcentral.